CCUCCUUUUCUGGGCAUACAUGAGCUGAGCAGUACUCCUGUGAGUUAUGUUCAGAGGAAGAGUAUUUUCAGUGUUAUGUCUUUGGUGCCAGUAAGCUAAAAUCUUCCGGUUCUAUCCUCAGUCACUGAGACAACA
Molecule: small nucleolar RNA, 135 nt
Organism: Protopterus annectens (West African lungfish)
Lineage: Eukaryota; Metazoa; Chordata; Ceratodontiformes; Protopteridae
Product: small nucleolar RNA SNORA57
Exons: 1
Source: RefSeq, a predicted model, not a curated record